Molecule: long non-coding RNA, 1141 nt
Organism: Gadus macrocephalus (Pacific cod)
Lineage: Eukaryota; Metazoa; Chordata; Actinopteri; Gadiformes; Gadidae
Exons: 2
Source: RefSeq, a predicted model, not a curated record
UUUCUUUGUUGAGUGCAAUUAUCAUUGCAAGCUGCAUAUUUAUAUGCAAUUAAUCAUUUAUAAAUAAUCUCUAAAGAUGGAAUGUGAAAUCUACCUGAAUUACGUAAAUUAUCAACCACAUUAUUUGCUGUCUAAUGAGACGUGAGAGAAACACAAGAAAGUUACAAGAAAAGUCAGUCAACAAAUGUAGUGCAAAGACACCUUUACAGAGCAUAAUUUAGAGUGGUUUAAUUUCAUAUUGAUCAAUUUCAUGUGUAUUAGGAGGAAAUGACAUGACUCGUAUAGCCUAAGUAAUUAAAUAUGACAUAAAAAAAUUAAAUAAUAUUAAAUAGAUAUUUUUUUAUUAUCCUAUUCUGGAAAUAUUUAAAGGCCUGGCCAUAACAGGUUCAGGGACUGGGGGUUGGGAAACGCUGAUCUAGGGGUCUAGCACACUUGGGAAUGAGCUGAUAGUGUCAUGGAAAUAUUAAUAACUAUAAUAUACAAUUAAACACAUUAACCUUGUUUAUAUAAUUACUAGUCAAUUUACAAGGAACUAUUUAAAUUCCUUGGACCUAUAGAUACCUCCCUUCCUCUCACUGAGAGUUGUUAAGGUAGGUUACAUUUGCAUUCCUGUUGUUACCACUAAGUCUAAUAGUAAGGCCAUGCAAUCAACUGAAUUCUUCGUUGUGUAGAUUCCUUUAACUGUCUUGCAGCCAUGUCCACUUGACCCAUAGUGUAUUGCAAUUUAACUGGUUCUCUCCCACCGUGCCUGACUUCAGCCAUGGCCAAUCCUAAAUUAACCCACGAUGUGAAAGCCAUCUUCUAAUGAAUGUAUGUUUGGUAUCUUUGCUGCCUGUAUCUUCCCAUGAUCAUGCUUUAAAAUUUAAUCAAAUAUUUUGAUAUCCGAAAUGUCCAAAAAAUAAGAAAUUCACAGAGAGCAAUUUUUAACAAUAGUAAGUUUAGUUUUACAAAUAGCAAAUAGCUGGAAAGCGUCUUUAAUCUUGAUUAAAUUAAUCUUGAUAAGAUUAAAGACGUCGUUGGUUUAGCUAACGGGGUAGAGCAAUUGUCUUGUAACCGAAAGGUUGCUAGUUUGACCCCCAGCUCCUCCUAGCUGGGUGUUGACGUGUCCCUGAGCCAGACACUUAACCCUAACAGCUCCUGA